Liolophura sinensis is the source of this 347-nucleotide long non-coding RNA. RefSeq lists it as uncharacterized. Lineage: Eukaryota; Metazoa; Mollusca; Polyplacophora; Chitonida; Chitonidae. The transcript is spliced from 3 exons. The record is from RefSeq and is a predicted model, not a curated record.
UCGUUAAGCCCGGUAGUAACUGUUUGUAUCUCUACUCACGGGGAUUAACCAUAUCCGUACAGCCCACAGCUCGAGCUCUGCGUCGGUAUUACAACGCCCCCGUGGGAGAUCGUAUCGGAUUAGUGGAUUUCAACCUUCCAUCACUAUGGCUGACGAAAACGAAGUAACUGAGACGACAACAGAAGAUUUGCCCGAGCAGCUGGAAGAAGAGAUCAAGGAAAUUUUCCAAAAAAUCGAUAAGAAUGGCAACGGUUAUAUCGAAGCGUCCGAAUUGGUGCUGGUCUUGAGAGGGCUAGGGCAGAAUCCCACCGACGAAGAGGUGGCCGAGGGGCUCAAGGCCAUGGACA